RNAcentral lists this ribosomal RNA (449 nucleotides) under uncultured bacterium. RNAcentral's name for it is "bacterial SSU rRNA". It matches the Rfam family "Bacterial small subunit ribosomal RNA", at positions 328 to 794 of the family's 1533-position model. The record is from RNAcentral.
GUCCCAGACUCCUACGGGAGGCAGCAGUGGGGGAUAUUGCACAAUGGGGGAAACCCUGAUGCAGCGACGCCGCGUGAGUGAAGAAGUCUUUCGGUAUGUAAAGCUCUAUCAGCAGGGAAGAAAAUGACAGUACCUGACCAAGAAGCCCCGGCUAACUACGUGCCAGCAGCCGCGGUAAUACGUAGGGGGCAAGCGUUAUCCGGAUUUACUGGGUGUAAAGGGAGCGUAGACGGUUAUGUAAGUCUGGAGUGAAAGCCCGGGGCCCAACCCCGGGACUGCUUUGGAAACUGUGCAGCUAGAGUGCAGGAGAGGUAAGUGGAAUUCCUAGUGUAGCGGUGAAAUGCGUAGAUAUUAGGAGGAACACCAGUGGCGAAGGCGGCUUACUGGACUGUAACUGACGUUGAGGCUCGAAAGCGUGGGGAGCAAACAGGAUUAGAUACCCUAGUAGA